AUCCAAGAGAGCUCCUUUUAAUCAUCCGCCACCCUCAGACCGUCUGCCAAGAGGAGCACAGGAUGAACUUCCAGCUGAUGAGCAGUGGUUGCCUUCAUUUCCAAACAGCUGCUGUGAUUAAUUGCACAGAGGAGACGCGUUUCUCCUUUCGGUGCUGAUGAAGCUUUGGGGUGCGGGGUCGCAUUGCAAACGCUGCUCCCAGAUGCACGGCCACGUCGGUGCUUUUGCACAGCAGGGAUGCACCAGCAGACUGGUGAUUUGCACGGCGGGGACGCACGGCCACACUGGUGCUUUUGCACGGCACGGAUGCUUUGGGCACACCAGUAUUUUUGCACAGCAGAGAUGCACAACCAUGCUGGUGCUUUGCACGGCAGGAACGAAGAGUCACACUGGUGCUUUUGCACAGCAGGGAUGCACGACCACACUGGUGCUUUUGCACAGCAGGGAUGCACAACCGUGCUGAUGCUUUUGCACAAGAGGGAUGAAUGGUCACAGCAGUGCCUUUGCAUGGUAGGAAUGCACAGCAGGGAUGCACGACCACACUGGUACUUUUGCACAGCAGGGUGCAAAGCAGGGAUGCACGACCACACUGGUGCUUUUGCACAGCAGGGUGCAAAGCAGGGAUGCACAUCAGGGAUGCACGACCACACUGGUGCUUUUGCACAGCAGGGAUGCACAUCAGGGAUGCACGACCACACUGGUGCUUUUGCACAGCAGGGAUGCACAACCGUGCUGAUGUUUUGUACAAGAGGGAUGAAUGGUCACAGCAGUGCCUUUGCAUGGUAGGAAUGCACAGCAGGGAUGCACGAGCACACUGGUGCUUUUGCACAGCAGGGAUCGACAGCCAUGCAGAGCAGUGGAGAGGCUGAAGGGACACGGUGGCAUCCUGGCCCCCAGCAUGGUCUGCAAGGACACCACGUGUCCCCAAGCUGGCUGUGCAGCAGUGCUCAGGAGCCACCGUGCUGCUGGAGGCUGCAGGCUGCACGGUGCACGCACAAAGAAUCCACCAGUAGCAAAACAGAGAGAGGAACCCUGGCUUUUUGAGGCCAUUAAUGAACCCACAGCACUUUCUGAAAGAGUCCCCGUGCUUACUGCAAAGCUCUGGCCCCGCUCCAGCCACAGUAAUUACAUUCUGCCUCUAAGAUCUCCCCUGAAUUUGUGAUCAGGACGGGAGAGAGUAUCAGCAGGGCAAGGAUGAGGGAACACCAAGUGGGUGCUUGGGUGCUGCGGGGGGGGGAUUGGGGACGCUGGGAGGUUUGGGGAUGCUGAAGGGCUGCUGGGAUGCUGGGUGGGGGGCGGGUGGGAUAC
This 1308-nucleotide long non-coding RNA is filed under the name Phasianus colchicus (ring-necked pheasant). Its description in RNAcentral is "lncRNA (ENSPCLG00000010393.1)". The record is from RNAcentral. Lineage: Eukaryota; Metazoa; Chordata; Aves; Galliformes; Phasianidae.